GCCCAGACAGCCAGGAGGUUGGCUUAGAAGCAGCCAUCCUUUAAAGAAAGCGUAACAGCUCACUGGUCUAGUCGGCCUGCGCGGAAGAUUUAACGGGGCUUAAGCCGUAUACCGAAGCUGCGGCUCGAUACUUUCUUCGGAUCGUAUCGGGGGUAGGGGAGCGUUCUGUAAGCCAGUGAAGGUGCGUCGCGAGGCGUGCUGGAGGUAUCAGAAGUGCGAAUGCUGACAUGAGUAACGAUUAUGCGGGUGAAAAACCCGCACGCCAGAAGCCCAAGGUUUCCUGCGCAACGCUAAUCGGCGCAGGGUGAGUCGGCCCCUAAGGCGAGACCGAAAGGUGUAGUCGAUGGGAAACAGGUCAACAUUCCUGUACCGGCCGUAACUGCGAUGGGGUGACGGAGAAGGUUAGGCCUACCGGGCGUUGGUUGUCCCGGGGAAAGUAGGUAGGCGGGCGCUUUUGGAAAAUCCGGAGCGCCGUUAACGCCGAGAUACGAGACCACCGGCAUUGCCGGGAAGUGGCUUACACCAUGCUUCCAGGAAAAACCUCUAAGCAUCAGGUUACGGGCGACCGUACCGUAAACCGACACAGGUGGGCAGGGAGAGAAUCCUAAGGCGUUUGAGAGAACUCGGGUGAAGGAACUAGGCAAAUUGGUACCGUAACUUCGGGAGAAGGUACGCCUUUGACGGUGACGGGACUUGCUCCCUGAGCUGUCGGAGGCCGCAGUGACCAGGUGGCUGCGACUGUUUACUAAAAACAUAGCACUCUGCUAACUCGCAAGAGGAUGUAUAGGGUGUGACGCCUGCCCGGUGCCGGAAGGUUAAGUGAUCUUGUUAGCCCUUUUGGGCAAAGCUCGUGACCGAAGCCCCGGUAAACGGCGGCCGUAACUAUAACGGUCCUAAGGUAGCGAAAUUCCUUGUCGGGUAAGUUCCGACCUGCACGAAUGGCGUAACGAUGGCCACACUGUCUCCACCCGGGACUCAGUGAAAUUGAAAUUGCUGUGAAGAUGCAGUGUACCCGCGGCUAGACGGAAAGACCCCGUGAACCUUUACUACAGCUUUGUACUGGAUCUUGAGCCAGCUUGUGCAGGAUAGGUGGGAGGCUUUGAAACGAGGACGCCAGUUCUCGUGGAGCCAACCUUGAAAUACCACCCUGGCUUGUUUGAGGUUCUAACCCAGGCCCGUUAUCCGGGUCGGGGACAGUGCAUGGUGGGUAGUUUGACUGGGGCGGUCUCCUCCCAAAGAGUAACGGAGGAGCACAAAGGUACCCUCAGCGCGGUCGGACAUCGCGCAUUGCGUGUAAAGGCAUAAGGGUGCUUGACUGCGAGACGUACAAGUCGAGCAGGGACGAAAGUCGGUCUUAGUGAUCCGGUGGUUCUGUAUGGAAUGGCCAUCGCUAAACGGAUAAAAGGUACUCCGGGGAUAACAGGCUGAUUCCUCCCAAGAGUCCACAUCGACGGAGGAGUUUGGCACCUCGAUGUCGGCUCAUCACAUCCUGGGGCUGUAGCAGGUCCCAAGGGUAUGGCUGUUCGCCAUUUAAAGUGGUACGCGAGCUGGGUUUAGAACGUCGUGAGACAGUUCGGUCCCUAUCUGCCGUGGGCGUUGGAAACUUGAGGGGAGCUUCUCCUAGUACGAGAGGACCGGAGUGGACGUACCUCUGGUGUUCCGGUUGUCACGCCAGUGGCAUUGCCGGGUAGCUAUGUACGGAAGGGAUAACCGCUGAAAGCAUCUAAGCGGGAAGCCCACCCCAAGAUUAGGUUUCCCGGAUCUUCGGAUCCCUGAAGGGCCCUUGAAGACUACAAGGUUGAUAGGCUGGGUGUGGAAGCGCGGCAACGCGUGAAGCUAACCAGUACUAAUUGCCCGUGCGGCUUAA
This 1867-nucleotide ribosomal RNA is filed under the name Gammaproteobacteria bacterium. RNAcentral's name for it is "partial 23S ribosomal RNA". It matches the Rfam family "Bacterial large subunit ribosomal RNA", at positions 1083 to 2925 of the family's 2925-position model. Lineage: Bacteria; Pseudomonadati; Pseudomonadota; Gammaproteobacteria. The record is from RNAcentral.